Molecule: ribosomal RNA, 496 nt
Filed under: uncultured bacterium
Lineage: Bacteria
Description: partial 16S ribosomal RNA
Rfam family: Bacterial small subunit ribosomal RNA
Source: RNAcentral
GAUGAACGCUGGCGGCGUGCCUAAUACAUGCAAGUCGAGCGAACGGACGAGAAGCUUGCUUUUCUGAUGUUAGCGGCGGACGGGUGAGUAACACGUGGAUAACCUACCUAUAAGACUGGGAUAACUUCGGGAAACCGGAGCUAAUACCGGAUAAUAUUUUGAACCGCAUGGUUCAAAAGUGAAAGACGGUCUUGCUGUCACUUAUAGAUGGAUCCGCGCUGCAUUAGCUAGUUGGUAAGGUAACGGCUUACCAAGGCAACGAUGCAUAGCCGACCUGAGAGGGUAUCCGGCCAAACGGGAACUGAGCCGGGGCCCAACUCCCGACGGAGGGCGGCGGGGGGAAAUCUCCCGAAAUGGGGAAAAGCCUAAAGGAGAAAGCCGGGGGUGGGGAAAAGGUGUUUGGGUUCGAAAAACAUUGUUAUGGGGAAAAAAAAAAGUGGAAAAAAACUGUGCACUUUUGAGCGAACCCAAAGCAGAAACCCACGGCAAACAAGUG